UACGUAGGGGGCGAGCGUUGUCCGGAGUUACUGGGCGUAAAGCGCACGCAGGCGGUCUGCUAAGUUUGGAGUGACAGUUGGUGACUUAACUGCCAAAGUGCUUCGAAAACUGACAGACUUGAGGGCUUCAGAGGGACACGGAAUUCCGGGUGGAGUGGUGAAAUGCGUAGAGAUCCGGAGGAACACCAAAGGCGAAGGCAGUGUCCUGGGGAGUACCUGACGCUCAGGUGCGAAAGCCAGGGGAGCGAACGGG
This 253-nucleotide ribosomal RNA is filed under the name uncultured bacterium. Its description in RNAcentral is "partial 16S ribosomal RNA". It matches the Rfam family "Bacterial small subunit ribosomal RNA", at positions 524 to 776 of the family's 1533-position model. The record is from RNAcentral.